CGGGAAACUGGGGAUAAUCCCUGAUAGAUCUCGGUCGCUGGAAUGCUCCGAGAUCCAAAGCUACGGCGCGCAAGGAUGGGUCGGCGGCCGAUCAGGUAGUAGUGGGUGUAGCGUACCUACUAGCCUUCGACGGGUACGGGUUGUGAGAGCAAGAGCCCGGAGAUGGAUUCUGAGACACGAAUCCAGGCCCUACGGGGUGCAGCAGGCGCGAAAACUUUACAAUGCCGGCAACGGCGAUCAGGGAACCUCGAGUGCCAGGUUACAAAUCUGGCUGUCGUGAUGCCUCAAACGCAUUGCAUAGCAAGGGCCGGGCAAGACCGGUGCCAGCCGCCGCGGUAACA
This 341-nucleotide ribosomal RNA is filed under the name uncultured archaeon. RNAcentral's name for it is "partial 16S ribosomal RNA". It matches the Rfam family "Archaeal small subunit ribosomal RNA", at positions 133 to 475 of the family's 1478-position model. The record is from RNAcentral.